AGUGAACGCUGGCGGUAGGCCUAGCACAUGCAAGUCGAACGGCAGCACAGUAAGAGCUUGCUCUUACGGGUGGCGAGUGGCGGACGGGUGAGGAAUACAUCGGAAUCUACUUUUUCGUGGGGGAUAACGUAGGGAAACUUACGCUAAUGCCGCAUACGACCUACGGGUGAAAGCAGGGGAUCUUCGGACCUUGCGCGAUUGAAUGAGCCGAUGUCGGAUUAGCUAGUUGGCGGGGUAAAGGCCCACCAAGGCGACGAUCCGUAGCUGGUCUGAGAGGAUGAUCAGCCACACUGGAACUGAGACACGGUCCAGACUCCUACGGGAGGCAGCAGUGGGGAAUAUUGGACAAUGGGCGCAAGCCUGAUCCAGCCAUACCGCGUGGGUGAAGAAGGCCUUCGGGUUGUAAAGCCCUUUUGUUGGGAAAGAAAAGCAGCAGGUUAAUACCCCGCUGUUCUGACGGUACCCAAAGAAUAAGCACCGGCUAACUUCGUG
RNAcentral lists this ribosomal RNA (492 nucleotides) under uncultured bacterium. RNAcentral describes it as "partial 16S ribosomal RNA". It matches the Rfam family "Bacterial small subunit ribosomal RNA", at positions 29 to 507 of the family's 1533-position model. The record is from RNAcentral.